UCGGGAAUCGGCUAAUGGCAGGCUGCUUGGCUUUGAACCAGGUGGUGGAGGUUCGAGUCCUCCUUCCCGAA
RNAcentral lists this transfer RNA (71 nucleotides) under Isosphaeraceae bacterium. RNAcentral describes it as "tRNA-Gln". It matches the Rfam family "tRNA". Rfam says of the family: Transfer RNA (tRNA) molecules are approximately 80 nucleotides in length. Their secondary structure includes four short double-helical elements and three loops (D, anti-codon, and T loops). Further hydrogen bonds mediate the characteristic L-shaped molecular structure. tRNAs have two regions of fundamental functional importance: the anti-codon, which is responsible for specific mRNA codon recognition, and the 3' end, to which the tRNAs corresponding amino acid is attached (by aminoacyl-tRNA synthetases). tRNAs cope with the degeneracy of the genetic code in two manners: having more than one tRNA (with a specific anti-codon) for a particular amino acid; and 'wobble' base-pairing, i.e. permitting non-standard base-pairing at the 3rd anti-codon position. Lineage: Bacteria; Pseudomonadati; Planctomycetota; Planctomycetia; Isosphaerales; Isosphaeraceae. The record is from RNAcentral.